RNAcentral lists this non-coding RNA (1058 nucleotides) under Trichomonas vaginalis G3. Its description in RNAcentral is "Eukaryotic large subunit ribosomal RNA". It matches the Rfam family "Eukaryotic large subunit ribosomal RNA", at positions 151 to 1494 of the family's 3401-position model. The record is from Rfam by way of RNAcentral. Lineage: Eukaryota; Parabasalia; Trichomonadida; Trichomonadidae.
UGUAGUCGGUUCCCUAUUGCACUGGUCUAAGUCAGAUGGAAUGCUGCGCGAUUCAGAGUAAAAGCCUCGUAUGACCAACCGCAAGCUUACGAUGGACCGGGGAGAGUCGGAUACUUUGAGAGUAGUGUCUUAAGGGGGUGGUAUGUCCCAUCCAAGGCUAAAUAACGUGAGGAGACCGAUAGAUUACAAGUAGUGUGAACGAAAGAUGAAAAGAACUCUAAAACAGAGGGUGAAAAGUUCCUGAACUUGCUUAGGGUUAAGGCUAUUUAUAGUACCCGUCUUGAAACACGGAUUAGGGAGUUUAUCUGUAGUGCGAGUCUUUGCACGUUAACUGUAAAGGCGUAGAGAAAGCAACUGGCGUUUGCAUGGCUACUGAGCAUUACUGAUAGGACCCGAAAGGUGGUGAACUUUGCCUGCACAGGUUGAAGUCAGGGGAAACUCUGAUGGAGGACCGUACGGGUUAUUGAUGUGCAAAUCAUUUUUCUGAUGUAGGUAAAGGUGCGAAAGACUCAUCGAACCACCUAAUAGCUGGUUUCCUCCGAAGUUUCCCUCAGGAUAGCUGUAAUGCAUUUAGUUAAGGGGAGUAGAGAUAUGGGUAGAGGUGCAGGGAGCCUUCGGGUUCUCAACUUAUUUCCAAACUUCGAACCUCCUUGUUAGGCAUUUACCUAACUGGAAAUGCUUAAAUGAAUUAGCGUUACAAGUGGGCUCUGACCGGUAAGCGGUCAUGGCGAAAUGGGAUGAACCAUACGUCUGAAUAAGGUGCCGAAAUGUACUAUCACUGAUACCAUAAAGGGAGUCCAUGUAUUUAGACAGCAGGUCGGUGCCCCUAAAAGCAGGUAUCCGCUAAAGAGUGUGUUAAAACUCACCUGCCGAAUACUAGGGCCCCGAAAAUGAAUGGCGCAUAUAGUACUACCGAUCUCAGACAUCAGUUCUAUUGAACUGAGAGUAAGGGGGAUGUGGACAUUUUUGUGAAGGUGCAAUGUGAGUUGGACUGGAAGAAUGUCUAUUACAGAUCCUAAUUGAAGUAGCGAUUAUCCAGGCUUGUAUCUGGGGGCUGA